UGCGAAAGCGUGGGGAGCAAACAGGAUUAGAUACCCUGGUAGUCCACGCCGUAAACGAUGUCUACUUGGAGGUUGUGCCCUUGAGGCGUGGCUUCCGGAGCUAACGCGUUAAGUAGACCGCCUGGGGAGUACGGCCGCAAGGUUAAAACUCAAAUGAAUUGACGGGGGCCCGCACAAGCGGUGGAGCAUGUGGUUUAAUUCGAUGCAACGCGAAGAACCUUACCUGGUCUUGACAUCCACAGAACUUUCCAGAGAUGGAUUGGUGCCUUCGGGAACUGUGAGACAGGUGCUGCAUGGCUGUCGUCAGCUCGUGUUGUGAAAUGUUGGGUUAAGUCCCGCAACGAGCGCAACCCUUAUCCUUUGUUGCCAGCGGUUAG
RNAcentral lists this ribosomal RNA (377 nucleotides) under uncultured bacterium. RNAcentral's name for it is "bacterial SSU rRNA". It matches the Rfam family "Bacterial small subunit ribosomal RNA", at positions 752 to 1128 of the family's 1533-position model. The record is from RNAcentral.